RNAcentral lists this ribosomal RNA (2800 nucleotides) under Escherichia coli. Its description in RNAcentral is "bacterial LSU rRNA". It matches the Rfam family "Bacterial large subunit ribosomal RNA". The record is from RNAcentral. Lineage: Bacteria; Pseudomonadati; Pseudomonadota; Gammaproteobacteria; Enterobacterales; Enterobacteriaceae.
GGGUUGUGAGGUUAAGCGACUAAGCGUACACGGUGGAUGCCCUGGCAGUCAGAGGCGAUGAAGGACGUGCUAAUCUGCGAUAAGCGUCGGUAAGGUGAUAUGAACCGUUAUAACCGGCGAUUUCCGAAUGGGGAAACCCAGUGUGAUUCGUCACACUAUCAUUAACUGAAUCCAUAGGUUAAUGAGGCGAACCGGGGGAACUGAAACAUCUAAGUACCCCGAGGAAAAGAAAUCAACCGAGAUUCCCCCAGUAGCGGCGAGCGAACGGGGAGCAGCCCAGAGCCUGAAUCAGUGUGUGUGUUAGUGGAAGCGUCUGGAAAGGCGCGCGAUACAGGGUGACAGCCCCGUACACAAAAAUGCACAUGCUGUGAGCUCGAUGAGUAGGGCGGGACACGUGGUAUCCUGUCUGAAUAUGGGGGGACCAUCCUCCAAGGCUAAAUACUCCUGACUGACCGAUAGUGAACCAGUACCGUGAGGGAAAGGCGAAAAGAACCCCGGCGAGGGGAGUGAAAAAGAACCUGAAACCGUGUACGUACAAGCAGUGGGAGCACGCUUAGGCGUGUGACUGCGUACCUUUUGUAUAAUGGGUCAGCGACUUAUAUUCUGUAGCAAGGUUAACCGAAUAGGGGAGCCGAAGGGAAACCGAGUCUUAACUGGGCGUUAAGUUGCAGGGUAUAGACCCGAAACCCGGUGAUCUAGCCAUGGGCAGGUUGAAGGUUGGGUAACACUAACUGGAGGACCGAACCGACUAAUGUUGAAAAAUUAGCGGAUGACUUGUGGCUGGGGGUGAAAGGCCAAUCAAACCGGGAGAUAGCUGGUUCUCCCCGAAAGCUAUUUAGGUAGCGCCUCGUGAAUUCAUCUCCGGGGGUAGAGCACUGUUUCGGCAAGGGGGUCAUCCCGACUUACCAACCCGAUGCAAACUGCGAAUACCGGAGAAUGUUAUCACGGGAGACACACGGCGGGUGCUAACGUCCGUCGUGAAGAGGGAAACAACCCAGACCGCCAGCUAAGGUCCCAAAGUCAUGGUUAAGUGGGAAACGAUGUGGGAAGGCCCAGACAGCCAGGAUGUUGGCUUAGAAGCAGCCAUCAUUUAAAGAAAGCGUAAUAGCUCACUGGUCGAGUCGGCCUGCGCGGAAGAUGUAACGGGGCUAAACCAUGCACCGAAGCUGCGGCAGCGACGCUUAUGCGUUGUUGGGUAGGGGAGCGUUCUGUAAGCCUGUGAAGGUGUACUGUGAGGUAUGCUGGAGGUAUCAGAAGUGCGAAUGCUGACAUAAGUAACGAUAAAGCGGGUGAAAAGCCCGCUCGCCGGAAGACCAAGGGUUCCUGUCCAACGUUAAUCGGGGCAGGGUGAGUCGACCCCUAAGGCGAGGCCGAAAGGCGUAGUCGAUGGGAAACAGGUUAAUAUUCCUGUACUUGGUGUUACUGCGAAGGGGGGACGGAGAAGGCUAUGUUGGCCGGGCGACGGUUGUCCCGGUUUAAGCGUGUAGGCUGGUUUUCCAGGCAAAUCCGGAAAAUCAAGGCUGAGGCGUGAUGACGAGGCACUACGGUGCUGAAGCAACAAAUGCCCUGCUUCCAGGAAAAGCCUCUAAGCAUCAGGUAACAUCAAAUCGUACCCCAAACCGACACAGGUGGUCAGGUAGAGAAUACCAAGGCGCUUGAGAGAACUCGGGUGAAGGAACUAGGCAAAAUGGUGCCGUAACUUCGGGAGAAGGCACGCUGAUAUGUAGGUGAAGUCCUUCUCAUGGAGCUGAAAUCAGUCGAAGAUACCAGCUGGCUGCAACUGUUUAUUAAAAACACAGCACUGUGCAAACACGAAAGUGGACGUAUACGGUGUGACGCCUGCCCGGUGCCGGAAGGUUAAUUGAUGGGGUCAGCGCAAGCGAAGCUCUUGAUCGAAGCCCCGGUAAACGGCGGCCGUAACUAUAACGGUCCUAAGGUAGCGAAAUUCCUUGUCGGGUAAGUUCCGACCUGCACGAAUGGCGUAAUGAUGGCCAGGCUGUCUCCACCCGAGACUCAGUGAAAUUGAACUCGCUGUGAAGAUGCAGUGUACCCGCGGCAAGACGGAAAGACCCCGUGAACCUUUACUAUAGCUUGACACUGAACAUUGAGCCUUGAUGUGUAGGAUAGGUGGGAGGCUUUGAAGUGUGGACGCCAGUCUGCAUGGAGCCGACCUUGAAAUACCACCCUUUAAUGUUUGAUGUUCUAACGUGGACCCGUAAUCCGGGUUGCGGACAGUGUCUGGUGGGUAGUUUGACUGGGGCGGUCUCCUCCUAAAGAGUAACGGAGGAGCACGAAGGUUGGCUAAUCCUGGUCGGACAUCAGGAGGUUAGUGCAAUGGCAUAAGCCAGCUUGACUGCGAGCGUGACGGCGCGAGCAGGUGCGAAAGCAGGUCAUAGUGAUCCGGUGGUUCUGAAUGGAAGGGCCAUCGCUCAACGGAUAAAAGGUACUCCGGGGAUAACAGGCUGAUACCGCCCAAGAGUUCAUAUCGACGGCGGUGUUUGGCACCUCGAUGUCGGCUCAUCACAUCCUGGGGCUGAAGUAGGUCCCAAGGGUAUGGCUGUUCGCCAUUUAAAGUGGUACGCGAGCUGGGUUUAGAACGUCGUGAGACAGUUCGGUCCCUAUCUGCCGUGGGCGCUGGAGAAUUGAGGGGGGCUGCUCCUAGUACGAGAGGACCGGAGUGGACGCAUCACUGGUGUUCGGGUUGUCAUGCCAAUGGCACUGCCCGGUAGCUAAAUGCGGAAGAGAUAAGUGCUGAAAGCAUCUAAGCACGAAACUUGCCCCGAGAUGAGUUCUCCCUGAC